RNAcentral lists this transfer RNA (37 nucleotides) under Crotaphytus collaris. RNAcentral describes it as "partial tRNA-Gln". Lineage: Eukaryota; Metazoa; Chordata; Lepidosauria; Squamata; Crotaphytidae. The record is from RNAcentral.
CUUGAAAGACCAUCGUUGUAAUUCAACUACAAAAACA